CCUACGGGAGGCAGCAGUGGGGAAUUUUGGACAAUGGGCGCAAGCCUGAUCCAGCCAUGCCGCGUGAGUGAAGAAGGCCUUCGGGUUGUAAAGCUCUUUCGGCCGGGAAGAAAUCGCAUUGGUUAAUACCUGGUGUGGAUGACGGUACCGGAAUAAGAAGCACCGGCUAACUACGUGCCAGCAGCCGCGGUAAUACGUAGGGUGCGAGCGUUAAUCGGAAUUACUGGGCGUAAAGCGUGCGCAGGCGGUUUUGUAAGACAGGCGUGAAACCCCCGGGCUCAACCUGGGAACUGCGCUUGUGACUGCAAGGCUAGAGUACGGCAGAGGGGGGUGGAAUUCCACGUGUAGCAGUGAAAUGCGUAGAGAUGUGGAGGAACACCAAUGGCGAAGGCAGCCCCCUGGGUCGAUACUGACGCUCAUGCACGAAAGCGUGGGUAGCAAACAGGAUUAGAUACCCUGGUAGUCCACGCCCUAAACAAUGUCAACUAGGUGUUGGGAGGGUAAAACCUUUUAGUACCGGAGCUAACGCGUGAAGUUGACCGCCUGGGGAGUACGGCCGCAAGGUUAAAACUCAAAGGAAUUGACGGGGACCCGCACAAGCGGUGGAUGAUGUGGAUUAAUUCGAUGCAACGCGAAAAACCUUACCUACCCUUGACAUGUCAGGAAGUCUUGAGAGAUUGAGAUGUGCCCGAAAGGGAACCUGAACACAGGUGCUGCAUGGCUGUCGUCAGCUCGUGUCGUGAGAUGUUGGGUUAAGUCCCGCAACGAGCGCAACCCUUGUCGUUAAUUGCCAUCAUUUAGUUGGGCACUUUAGCGAGACUGCCGGUGACAAACCGGAGGAAGGUGGGGAUGACGUCAAGUCCUCAUGGCCCUUAUGGGUAGGGCUUCACACGUCAUACAAUGGUCGGUACAAAGGGUCGCCAACCCGCGAGGGGGAGCCAAUCCCAGAAAGCCGAUCGUAGUCCGGAUUGCAGGCUGCAACUCGCCUGCAUGAAGUCGGAAUCGCUAGYAAUCGUGGAUCAGCAUG
Molecule: ribosomal RNA, 1027 nt
Filed under: uncultured Dechloromonas sp.
Lineage: Bacteria; Pseudomonadati; Pseudomonadota; Betaproteobacteria; Rhodocyclales; Azonexaceae
Description: bacterial SSU rRNA
Rfam family: Bacterial small subunit ribosomal RNA
Source: RNAcentral